Molecule: ribosomal RNA, 509 nt
Filed under: uncultured bacterium
Lineage: Bacteria
Description: bacterial SSU rRNA
Rfam family: Bacterial small subunit ribosomal RNA
Source: RNAcentral
AUCCUGGCUCAGGAUGAACGCUAGCGGCAGGCUUAACACAUGCAAGUCGAGGGGCAUCGGGAGUAGCAAUACUGCCGGCGACCGGCGCAAGGGUGCGUAACGCGUGAGCAACAUGCCCGUAUCAGGGGGAUAAUCCAUGGAAACGUGGUCUAAUACCCCAUAGUAAUUAUGUAAGGCAUCUUAUAUAAUUUAAAGCUUUGGUGGAUACGGAUUGGCUCGCGUGACAUUAGCUGGAUGGUAAGGUAACGGCUUACCAUGGCUACGAUGUCUAGGGGUUCUGAGAGGAAGGUCCCCCCACACUGGAACUGAGACACGGUCCAGACUCCUACGGGAGGCAGCAGUGAGGAAUAUUGGACAAUGGAUGGAAAUCUGAUCCAGCCAUGCCGCGUGCAAGGAAGACCGGCCCUAUGGGUUGUAAACUGCUUUUGUAUGGGAGCAAUAAGGGCUACGUGUAGUCCGAUGAGAGUACCAUACGAAUAAGCACCGGCUAACUCCGUGCCAGCAGCAGC